GGCGGACGGGUGAAGUAACGCGUGAGAAUCUCCCUUCAGGAUGGGGACAACCGUUGGAAACGACGGCUAAUCCCCAAUGUGCCGAGAGGUGAAAGGGUUUCCGCCUGAAGAAGAGCUCGCGUCCGAUUAGUUAGUUGGUGAGGUAAGAGCUCACCAAGGCAGCGAUCGGUAGCUGGUCUGAGAGGAUGAGCAGCCACACUGGGACUGAGACACGGCCCAGACUCCUACGGGAGGCAGCAGUGGGGAAUUUUCCGCAAUGGGCGAAAGCCUGACGGAGCAACGCCGCGUGUGGGAAGAAGGCUCUUGGGCUGUCAACCACUUUUCUCAGGGAAGAAGUUCUGACGGUACCUGAGGAAUCAGCCUCGGCUAACUCCGUGCCAGCAGCCGCGGUAAUACGGAGGAGGCAAGCGUUAUCCGGAAUUAUUGGGCGUAAAGCGUCCGCAGGGGGCGCAUCAAGUCUGCUGUUAAAGGCUGGAGCUUAACUCCGGUAGAGCAGUGGAAACUGGUGCGCUAGAGGGCGACAGGGGUAGAGGGAAUUCCCAGUGUAGCGGUGAAAUGCGUAGAGAUUGGGAAGAACACCGGUGGCGAAAGCGCUCUACUGGGUCGCACCUGACCCUCAGGGACGAAAGCUAAGGUAGCGAAAGGGAUUAGAUACCCCUGUAGUCUUAGCCGUAAACGAUGGAUACUAGGCGUGGCUUGUAUCGACCCAAGCC
This 713-nucleotide ribosomal RNA is filed under the name uncultured bacterium. RNAcentral's name for it is "bacterial SSU rRNA". It matches the Rfam family "Bacterial small subunit ribosomal RNA", at positions 97 to 842 of the family's 1533-position model. The record is from RNAcentral.